GAUGAACGCUGGCGGCGUGCCUAAUACAUGCAAGUCGAGCGAACAGACGAGGAGUUCUCCUCUCUGACGUUAGCGGCGGACGGGUGAGUAACACGAGGAUAACCGACCUAGAGGACUGGGAUAACUUCGGGAAACCGGAUCUAAUACCGGUCAAGAUAUUGAACCGCAGGGUUCAAUAGUGAAAGCCGGUUUUGCUGUCACUAAUAGAUGGAACCGGGUCGGAUUAGCUAGUUGGUAAGGUAACGGCUUACCAAGGCGACGAUGCGUAGCCGACCUGAGAGGGUGAUCAGCCACACUGGAACUGAGACACGGUCCAGACUCCUACGGGAGGCAGCAGUAGGGAAUCUUCGGCAAUGGGCGAAAGCCUGACGGAGCAACGCCGCGUGAGUGAUGAAGGCCUUCGGAUCGUAAAGCUCUGUUAGUAGGGAAGAACAAAAGUAUGAGUAAAUCUGGACGUCUUGACGGUACCAAAACAGAAAGCAACGGCUAACUACGUG
This 497-nucleotide ribosomal RNA is filed under the name uncultured bacterium. RNAcentral describes it as "partial 16S ribosomal RNA". It matches the Rfam family "Bacterial small subunit ribosomal RNA", at positions 28 to 507 of the family's 1533-position model. The record is from RNAcentral.